AACUUUCGACAACGGAUCACUUGGCUCUCGCAUCGAUGAAGAACGCAGCGACAUGCGAUACGUAAUGUGAAUUGCAGAUGGAACAGAAUCAUCGAAUCUUUGAACGCACCUUGCACUCUUUUGUUAUUCAGAAGCGUAUGCCUGUUUGAGUGUCGCGACCCUCUCAACCCCGCCCGUCUUGGGUUGCCUGGGCUUGGAUCAUGGUCUUUGCCGGUUCGAAGACACGGGCUGGACUGAAAGACAACAAGCUGGAUCAGAACGUGCGGCUUGACCUGACGUUGUAACGUAACUCGUUGGGGACGCAACGUUGUGAAUGAGCUUUAUCAGACGACGAUCAGACCUCAAAUCAGGUAGGACUACCCGCUGAAUUUAAGCAUAUCAAUAAGCGGAGGCU
Molecule: unclassified non-coding RNA, 394 nt
Filed under: uncultured Bensingtonia
Lineage: Eukaryota; Fungi; Basidiomycota; Agaricostilbomycetes
Description: sequence contains ITS2
Rfam family: 5.8S ribosomal RNA (bases 1-155)
Source: RNAcentral